Salvelinus fontinalis (brook trout) is the source of this 1530-nucleotide long non-coding RNA. RefSeq lists it as uncharacterized. The transcript is spliced from 6 exons. NCBI's taxonomy places the organism in Eukaryota, Metazoa, Chordata, Actinopteri, Salmoniformes, Salmonidae. The record is from RefSeq and is a predicted model, not a curated record.
GGAGGGGGAAUGCCUGGUGGCCAGUGAGAGAGAGGAGCCUGCAGAAUGACCCGGAGGCUCUAUCCGCACAGCUCUGCCAACAGGAGCAGAUUAACAUGGCUAAUGUUCAAACAUGACCAACUGCUCUACAGGAUUUAUCAUGAACAGCAACGGGUGCAUCUUGUGGUGUAGGAGAGCUCCAGAGACGCUGCACAUCUGGGCCUACAGCUGGAACAGGUCCACUCGGAGCUAUGGCGCUGGCAGAGCUUGGAGGUGCAGCUGGAAGGCCUGGUGGAGGAGCUGCACACUGAGGCCCUGCAGAGGGCUGCACUUACGAAGGGGCCUUGCGUAGCUGUACAGGUCGUUGCUGCAAAUGAGAACGUGUUCUCAGUCAACUUACCUGGUAAAAUAACGGUACAAUAAAAUAAAUAAAUAAUUAAAUAAAGGUGCAGGAACUGCAGCGGGAAAAUGAUGGGCAGUCUGAGGAAGCUCCAGGAGGCGGCUGAGCAGUUUGAGUGGCCGUGUGAACAGCAGCUCUACUGGAUGUGCUGCGUCAAGAGGUGAACCGGUUGGAGAAGGAGUUAGAAGAGUUGAGGUGGAGCUCACAGGACUCAGUGAGCCCCACCCAGAUACAGUGCUGUCCCCUUUUGGACAUGGACAGCCAGCACUGUGACAGAAUUCCCUAAUGGGAAUCAGAUGAGAUGGCUGACCUGCAAACCCAGGUCGACAAAUGGAGAGGGCUGUGUGAGGACUUCCUCAGCCAGUUCACACCCCACCAAAACCUGAGCCCUAGGACCAUACGUCAGGACUACCGGGCAUGAUGACUCCUUGCUGUCCCCAGUCCGCCUGGCCUUGCUGCUAUUCCAGUUUCAACUGUUCUGCCUGCGGUUACGGAACCCCUACCUGUCCCAGACCUGCUGUUUUCAACUCUUAAUGAUCGGCUAUGAAAAGCCAACUGAGAUUUAUUCCUGAUUAUUAUUUGACCAUGCUUGACAUUUAUGAACAUUUUGAAAAUCUUGGCUCUCUCUAAUUUUCUCCUUCUCUCUUUCUUUCUCUCGGAGGACCUGAGCCCUAGGACCAUACGUCGGGACUACCGGCCGUGGUGACUCCUUGCUGUCCCCAGUCCGCCUGGCCUUGCUGCUAUUCCAGUUUCAACUAUUCUGCCUGCGGUUAUGGAACCGCCACCUGUCCCAGACCUGUUGUUUUUCAACUCUUAAUGAUCGGCUAUGAAAAGCCAACUGAAAAUUAUUCCUGAUUAUUAUUUGACCAUGCUUGUCACUUAUGAACAUUUUUGAACAUCUUGGCAUAGUUCUGUUAUAAUCUCCACCCGGCACAGCCAGAAGAGGACUGGCCACCCCUCAUAGCCUGGUUCCUCUCUAGGUUUCUUCCUGGGUUUUGGCCUUUCUAGGGAGUUUUUCCUAGCCACCGUGCUUCUACACCUGCAUUACUAGCUGUUUGGGGUUUUAGGCUGGGUUUCUGUACAGCACUUCGAGAUAUUAGCUGAUGUACGAAGGGCUAUAUAAAAUAAACUUGAUUGAUUGAUUGAUUGGA